Triticum dicoccoides is the source of this 4409-nucleotide RNA transcript. RefSeq lists it as uncharacterized. Lineage: Eukaryota; Viridiplantae; Streptophyta; Magnoliopsida; Poales; Poaceae. The transcript is spliced from 4 exons. The record is from RefSeq and is a predicted model, not a curated record.
AUCACUGAAGCUGCUCCCCAUUCCACCAACUCCACCACGAGUCAGCCGCCGCCUCCUCUUCUCAUCUGAGCGAUUGAGCCGCCGCCGGCGCCCGGCGCCACCGCAUUUCUCCCCCACCAGGCAGCCCCUCCGUCCUCGCCUUCACCGGCCGCCGACCGUCGCGCCGUCGCUAGUCUCGCCACAUCGCCAAGCAACUCAGCAGCGACCGUCGGUCCAUCCCGGCAUCUCGGCGCUCGGCGGCGCGCGUCUUCUCCACUUUGCCACAACGUCUUCCACUGAGCACUCAAGUCAACGUAGUGGUCCGAGGCACAAGGAAUCUAGCAUGCGAUGGAGCAUUUGGUCGAAUUAUACAGCGGGUGGGAAAUCCAACUUCUUGUACUGCUCAGCUUCACAUUGCAGUCGUUCCUCUUCUUUGCUGGCAGACUGCGGCGCCGAAGCAGCAACAGCUUUCUCAGGCUCUGCCUCUGGGCAGUUUAUUUGGGGGCAGACCUGGUAGCAGUGUAUGCACUGGGCUAUCUCUCUAAGCGCCAGGAUGUCACCAUUGAAACGAACAUACUUACAAGAACCCAACCACUAGCUUUCUUUUGGGCACCAUUCCUCCUCAUCCAUCUUGGUGGGCAGGAUACCAUCACUGCUUUCGCCAUGGAGGACAACAACUUGUGGUUGAGGCAUCUGUUGAAUCUGGUGAUGCAAGUUGCCCUAGCUUUAUAUGUUUUUUGGAAGUCCAUUGGUAAACACAGUGCAGACCUUCUGCUUGCGGGUAGCUUUGUGUUUGUUACUGGAAUUAUCAAGUAUGGAGAAAGAACAUGGUCUCUCAAGUGUGGCAGCCUUCAAAGUCUCGAGAGCUCAGAUGCACUGCGUUACAAAAUGGAACUGCCUGAAGGAAUCGCUGGUGAUGUUGGCGUUGUUCGUGCUGCUCUGGAUUCCAUGCCAUUUGUCCUUGAUGUCAUGGCCGAACGCAACUUGCUUGAUCUCGGCCGAGAAUAUAUGAACAAAAUAGAUGACCCUGAGCAAAUGAUACGGAUGGUGAGGCUUCAGCUUGGCAUGAUAUACGACGAUCUCUACACUAAGUCUCUUGUGCUCAGAACACGGAGUGGAGUUAUACUUAGAUGCAUCUCUCAGGCCUCGGUAAUAGUUUCCUUUGUCCUCUUCCAUGCAAGUAGCAGAGACAAUUAUAGCAAAGCUGACAUUGCCAUCACCUAUUCGCUAUUUGUGGGUUGUUUUUUCUUUGAAGUCAGUUCAACGUUUGUUUCCAUGUUGUCACCUUGGACAUGGGCAUGGUUGAAGGUUAGAAGGUGUGAUGCACUCGCCAGUUUGUGGGUUUUCUUUUGCUCUGACAUCGGAUAUCCAAGGACGAUGAAGCAGCAGCGGUGGCCAAAUUUGAUUGGACAGUACAACUUACAUAGCUGGUUGACUGACAGCGGCCCGAAGCAAAGCAUAAUAAUGGUUGUGUUCAGAAAGUUGUUUGUGGAUUUGUUGGGUGUCAAAAAGAAGAAAAUAUUUUGGAUGAGCAAGCUAUUAGACACCGGUUACGUGGAUGUGGGUAGCAAGAUUGUGGAGUGUGUUGCAGAAGAGAUUAGUCUCUUGACAUUUGAUUCCGAUAUUGAUAAACCCAAUGAAUGGCCAAAAAUUGGUUCCUUGUUGAAAGAGGCAUCAGAACUUUUUGCUAAUGAUUUUGGUAUGGCAAUUAUCUGGAUGCAGGCAGUUACUGAGUUGCUUUUGAAAAAAUGUGAAUCUUCCCAUUCAGAUAUAGAGUUUCAUGGUACAAGUGAAUUUGGUUUGAUGAUUUUGGUAUGUCGGAAGCUAUCCAAGUACGUAAUGUACCUUUUCAUUCACCACCCUUCCAUGCUGCCGCUCUCUAUCAGCCCAGCACCUACCCUGGCUCAGGCUCACGAAGUAUAUGAUGAUUUCACCAAGGAUAGUGUUGAGUUGGAGGUAAGCAAGGAAACAGUGGAGGAGGUAGCACGCAUGUGGACGCGGCUACUUGUUUACGCUGCUGGCAAGUCCAAGGCGGCGCCGCAUGUUGCGCUGCUGAGCAGAGGAGGAGAGCUCAUCACAUUCGCAUGGCUAAUCAUGGCCCACUGCGGGUUUGGGGAUACUCGCGUUAGAAGACUUCAACUUACCAAUAUUGAUGCCCACAUAGUGAGAGAAUUAGAUUUUACACCACGACACCUCUUCAAUCUUCCCAUGGAAGAUCAGAUAUCGGACUCUGCUAAUCGGUCAAAAUUGGAUGAUGAGAACGCGAAUGGGAUGACGACUAAGUCAGAUCGCUUCGUGGUUGGUAGCCGUAGCUUUCCAUGAGGGUCCGUCCAUAUGUGGUUUUCUUAUGUGCUUGUUUAUUCUCAGUAAGGUUCAUCUUGCUUGGUCGUGCUAUUUUCUGCUUAUUGUGUCUGUUUACGUAAUUUUAAAUUGUGGAGUUCAUUCAGCGGACUUUUGUGCUAUUCGCUGAAUUAUGAUGUCACAUUGUGGAAUUUGCGAGAUUAUAAGGAAUUAGAAAAAAUGCACCUCACAUUGUGGAAUUUUAUUAGAAAACAAAUACACUUAUAUAAAUGAACGACUGGAGUAUAAGUACCAAUUAAUUCCCAUGAUUUGGAUUGUAAGAUUCCAUCUAGUUUCAGCUACAAUUAUCAGACUUUAUACUAGCUUGAAUUAGAUCGUGGGCCAGUACUACAUAGGACAGCCUUGGUAUAAGAGGUCAACACAAUACAUCUAGUGGGUUCACUCUAAUGUCCUUAGGAUUUUUUGUGUUUGAAUAAUUCUAGUUUGAGAUAAAGGCUGCACAACAUGUCCUCUCCAUGUGCGAGCAAGGCAUGGAUACCCAAGAUAUUAGCUGUGCUAAACUAACACUCUGUACAACCUUGUGAGAUCUGAAUAUACGAGUGCAUGAAGAUUUAUCUGUCAGUUUUAUCUUAUGGCUAUGGUCCACUUUGUUGUCCUCUUGCAGUUGACUGUUCUGCACAGACAAAUCCAUGUUUUGGGAUGUUCCAGGGCUCCUUGUUAGAAUAUUUCCAUGUCUAGUUCAUCAUUUCUUCCAUUUUGGGUUUAACGAAAUGGCGUUCCUUAAUAGUGAUGAUGAGAACUACGACAAGAUUGCGCUACCGAGAUUCGUUGGUCACUCCAAGUUGUGUAUGAACUUGUUUGUUUAUGAUAACUUAAAUAGAUAAUGGUGUGGGUAUAGGCAUAUGACUUCAUACCUAUCAUUAACGAUGACACAUUUUCUCUCAUGUUAUUGCGGUGUUUGGCCAUUAGUCCUUCAGAAAAAAAUGGGCUAUUAUUCUAUUUGUUUCUUUUCACUAUUGACAUGUGGCUUACAUUACUAAAUAGAUUAAGAGGUUUAAGUGUAAUAAGGAUGAGGACUCCAUUGUGUAUGAUGUUUUCUUAUUAUCAUUUAUCUGCACUCACAAACCAUGUUAGAACACAAGGUGUCGUUGUUGAUCCCAGUUGCUAUUUUAUGUUCAUCUGUUGUGACUCGACGACAUGAAGUGAAGAAUGAAAACCCCCACCUCUGGUUAUUUAUAAUCUUGCAGUCUCUCUUUAAUCUUUUGAACGACCUGCCUUUUUCCUGCAGAGUUUCUAUGGAGCUCUCCUGGUAUUCUGCAUUUGUUGCUCGAUCAGUCAAUGAUGCUCUUCAUGAAGCACACACUAUAUACUUAUGCAAACAUUUGGAUUCUCAUUUAGAAAGUUGACGUGUAUGACGUGCUUGGAUGCAUUUUGUUCUUUCCAUAUUGUCCUAUUGGAAGCAUAAGAGCAUGUUUGGGUUGGAGGAGAUAUAGAUUCAAAUCCAGGUUUCGCUUAUGCGACCUACCUCAUCCAACUACUAAGAGCAAAUUCUGUACCAAUUUUCCAUAUUUGCGGUCUUGCGGAGAAUGGAUGGCUAGAUAAGAUGGCCCGGGGGCACCUGCUCUAAAACAUGUUUCCGAAUAAAAAGAGCCCACUUAGUUUCAGCUGCAGUUGUAGUACUUGAUACUAGCUUGAAUCUGAUUGAGGUCGUCACUGGCCAAGUGUAGAUGAUGUUGAUAGUCUAUUCCGAUUUCAAUGUACCAACACUACAUACUACAACUGGUGGUGUGUAUGGGUCGAUAAGGAUGCCCAUAUGUUCCCCCGAUGCGUGCAGGGCCGUUGGGAUUGCCGCGGAGAGCGAUGAGGAGAAGAGCAGGCACUUCGCUUCAAGGCUCUGAUCAGGACACAGAUUGGAGGUCAGUCUCCCUCUAGAGCUUUGCAUUCCUAGUCUCUGAUGUGUCCCUCCGAACAGGUGUUUAAUUAACACUUGCUGAAUAAGGGGAAUUGUUGUUCUCCUUACAGUACAAUUUGGUGACAAAACGUUGCAGUAUGGUUCCUGCUGGAUUGUCAGAUUGUGCUAACAUUCCCAUAGUACUUUGGAUGAUAUUGCUAAGAAUAUGCUUCGUUUG